Molecule: ribosomal RNA, 400 nt
Filed under: uncultured bacterium
Lineage: Bacteria
Description: bacterial SSU rRNA
Rfam family: Bacterial small subunit ribosomal RNA
Source: RNAcentral
AGCGAACGUUAGCGGCGGGCCUAACACAUGCAAGUCGAGCGAGAAAGUGGCUUCGGCCAUCAGUAAAGCGGCGGACGGGUGAGUAACACGUAGGUAAUCUUCCUUCGAGCGGGGGACAACGGUCCGAAAGGACCGCUAAUACCGCAUACGUUUCUCGGGACCUCGGUCCUGGGAAGGAAAGCUAGGUAGCAAUAUCCGGCACUCGAUGAGGAGCCUGCGUCGCAUCAGCUAGUUGGUGGGGAAUGGCCCACCAAGGCGAAGACGCGUAGCUGGUCUGAGAGGAUGAUCAGCCACACUGGGACUGAGACACGGCCCAGACUCCUACGGGAGGCAGCAGUGGGGAAUAUUGGACAAUGGGCGCAAGCCUGAUCCAGCCACGCCGCGUGAGUGAUGAAGGCCU